GCGAGUAGAAAACUAAUGCCGGAAACAACCGUAACUAUUGUUAUUGGGUUUAGGUGGUGUUGUCCGUCUUUGUUUGAGGAACAAAUGGAACGUUGAUAAUGGAUAAUACUAGUAGUAAAUUUACUAACAGAUUAUGCUAUGCUUGCUGCUUGCAGUUAUUGGCUUUUUAGUACAUAUAUGGUGGAGUAAUUGUUAAUCGAUUUCUAUCCUCUUUCUAGCGUCAUUAAUCCAUUUUUCCUGUUCCUUUUCUUUAACUUUUUUUCAAGAGUAGGCUCAUGAAGAAGGAGAAGAG
This 292-nucleotide long non-coding RNA is filed under the name Nicotiana benthamiana. RNAcentral's name for it is "long non-coding RNA (NBEN_LNC021411)". Lineage: Eukaryota; Viridiplantae; Streptophyta; Magnoliopsida; Solanales; Solanaceae. The record is from RNAcentral.